CAGCCGCCGCGGUAAAACGAAGGGGGCUAGCGUUGUUCGGAAUUACUGGGCGUAAAGCGCACGUAGGCGGAUACUUAAGUUAGGGGUGAAAUCCCAGGGCUCAACCCUGGAACUGCCUUUAAUACUGGGUAUCUUGAAUUCGAGAGAGGUAAGUGGAAUUCCGAGUGUAGAGGUGAAAUUCGUAGAUAUUCGGAGGAACACCAGUGGCGAAGGCGGCUUACUGGCUCGAUACUGACGCUGAGGUGCGAAAGCGUGGGGAGCAAACAGGAUUAGAUACCCCUGUAGUCCCUGUCUCUUAUAC
RNAcentral lists this ribosomal RNA (301 nucleotides) under uncultured bacterium. RNAcentral describes it as "partial 16S ribosomal RNA". It matches the Rfam family "Bacterial small subunit ribosomal RNA", at positions 509 to 807 of the family's 1533-position model. The record is from RNAcentral.